GACGAACGCUGGCGGCGUGCUUAACACAUGCAAGUCGAACGGACAGGCCCUGCUCUUGUGGGUUGCUCGAGAGGCGAACGGGUGAGUAAAACGUGAGUAACCUGCACUUGACUUUGGGGUAACUUCAGGAAACUGCGGCUAAUACCGGAUAGGAUCUCCUGCUGCAUGGUGGGGGUAGGAAAGUUUCGGCGGUUGGGGAUGGACUGGCGGCUUAUGAGCUUGUUGGUGGAGUAGUGGCGUACGAAGGCUAUGAAGGGUAGCCCGCCUGAGAGGGUGACCGGCCUCCAUGGGCCUGAGGUAGGGCCCAGACUGCUACGGGAGGCAGCAGUGGGGAACAUUGCACAAUGGGCGGAAGCCUGAUGCAGCAACGUCGCGUUCGUAAUGACGGCCUACGGGGUGUAAACCGCUUUCGCCGGUGACGAGGCGUGCGUGACGGUAAUGGGUAAAGAAGCACCGGCUAACUACGUG
This 468-nucleotide ribosomal RNA is filed under the name uncultured bacterium. RNAcentral's name for it is "partial 16S ribosomal RNA". It matches the Rfam family "Bacterial small subunit ribosomal RNA", at positions 28 to 507 of the family's 1533-position model. The record is from RNAcentral.